Molecule: small RNA, 183 nt
Filed under: Chrysemys picta bellii (western painted turtle)
Lineage: Eukaryota; Metazoa; Chordata; Testudines; Emydidae
Description: TUC338 (ENSCPBG00000028236.1)
Source: RNAcentral
UAGCUGAAAUCAGAAUCUGGCCUCCUAUAUUCUUUUUAGUCACAGAAUAGGCACAGUACAGGUAAUAAUAUUACAUGUUUCCAUCACUGCCCCUCCAAAGUGCUGUCAAUCCUUCCAUGAAGGGAUCACAACUAAGUGAGAGAGAGUAGUUCAGUCUCCAUGCUCAAACAUCUCUGGGCCUCG